UCGAGAAUAAUUCGCAAUGGGCUAAAGCCUGACGAUGCGACGCCGCGUGAACGAUGAAGGCCUUCGGGUUGUAACGUUCUGUUGACCUGGAACAAGAGUAGCCGUCGAAUAGGUGGCUACGAUGAGGGUACAGGUAGAGGAAGCACCGGCUAAUUCCGUGCCAGCAGUUGCGGUAAUACGGAAGGUGCAAGCGUUAGUCGGAAUUACUGGGCGUAAAGGGUGCGUAGGCGGUACUGUAAGUCGGGCGUGAAAUUCCGGAGCUUAACUUCGGAACGGCGUUCGAUACUGCAGUUCUAGAGGAAUGGCGGAGAGAAUGGAAUUCCGUAUGUAGCGGUCAAAUGCGUAGAUAUAUGGAAGAACACCUGUGGCGAAAGCGGUUCUCUAGCCUUCUCCUGACGCUGAGGCACGAAAGCAAGGGGAGCAAACA
RNAcentral lists this ribosomal RNA (427 nucleotides) under uncultured prokaryote. RNAcentral describes it as "bacterial SSU rRNA". It matches the Rfam family "Bacterial small subunit ribosomal RNA", at positions 355 to 774 of the family's 1533-position model. The record is from RNAcentral.